AGCUAACGCAUUAAAUGAUCCGCCUGAGUAGUAUGCUCGCAAGAGUGAAACUUAAAGGAAUUGACGGGGACCCGCACAAGCGGUGGAGCAUGUGGUUUAAUUUGAAGAUACGCGGAGAACCUUACCCACUCUUGACAUCCUUCGCAAUGCUAUAGAGAUAUAGCGGAGGUUAACGGAGUGACAGAUGGUGCAUGGUUGUCGUCAGCUCGUGUCGUGAGAUGUUUGGUCAAGUCCUGCAACGAGCGCAACCCCUAUCUUUAGUUACUAACGAGUCAUGUCGAGGACUCUAGAGAUAC
RNAcentral lists this ribosomal RNA (296 nucleotides) under Mycoplasmopsis arginini. RNAcentral's name for it is "Mycoplasma arginini partial 16S ribosomal RNA". It matches the Rfam family "Bacterial small subunit ribosomal RNA", at positions 850 to 1149 of the family's 1533-position model. The record is from RNAcentral. Lineage: Bacteria; Bacillati; Mycoplasmatota; Mycoplasmoidales; Metamycoplasmataceae.